Molecule: ribosomal RNA, 533 nt
Filed under: uncultured bacterium
Lineage: Bacteria
Description: bacterial SSU rRNA
Rfam family: Bacterial small subunit ribosomal RNA
Source: RNAcentral
GGCCUUGACAUACUAAGAACUUUCCGAGAGAUGGAUUGGUGCCUUCGGGAACUUAGAUACAGGUGCUGCAUGGCUGUCGUCAGCUCGUGUCGUGAGAUGUUGGGUUAAGUCCCGCAACGAGCGCAACCCUUUUCCUAUUUGCCAGCGGGUCAUGCCGGGAACUUUAAGGAUACUGCCAGUGACAAACUGGAGGAAGGCGGGGACGACGUCAAGUCAUCAUGGCCCUUACGGCCAGGGCUACACACGUGCUACAAUGGUCGGUACAAAGGGUUGCUACCUCGCGAGAGGAUGCUAAUCUCAAAAAGCCGAUCGUAGUCCGGAUCGCAGUCUGCAACUCGACUGCGUGAAGUCGGAAUCGCUAGUAAUCGCGGAUCAGAAUGCCGCGGUGAAUACGUUCCCGGGCCUUGUACACACCGCCCGUCACACCAUGGGAGUUUGUUGCACCAGAAGUAGGUAGUCUAACCGCAAGGAGGACGCUUACCACGGUGUGGCCGAUGACUGGGGUGAAGUCGUAACAAGGUAGGCGUAGAUGA